Molecule: long non-coding RNA, 271 nt
Organism: Epinephelus lanceolatus (giant grouper)
Lineage: Eukaryota; Metazoa; Chordata; Actinopteri; Perciformes; Serranidae
Source: RefSeq, a predicted model, not a curated record
AGGUGUGCAGGCUACGCACCUGUUCCUCAUUCUCAUCAGUCUCAGUUAAAGCCCGGUCUCUCAUGCCACUCGUCGUCAGAUCGUCCAGUUUCCCACGCGGAAUCCUCCUCGCUCACCUGCAUUCUGCCUGCGCCUGCUGGAUCCGCCCCCGUCCUUCACCGUGCCUCUCCGUUGUGCCCCACCACCUCGUCUCUCCACCCUGCCUUCGCCCUGCCUCACUGCACUGCCUCGCCAUCCAGCCACAACAUUCAAUUAAAGCACCUUUAACUGA